CAGAGACUGCAAGCGUUAUUCGGAUUCACUGGGCGUAAAGGGUGCGCAGGCGGUCGGGUGUGUCAGAUGUGAAAUCCCGAGGCUCAACCUCGGAACUGCGUCUGAAACUACUCGACUAGAGUACUGGAGAGGGUAACGGAAUUCACGGUGUAGCAGUGAAAUGCGUAGAUAUCGUGAGGAACACCAGAGGCGAAGGCGGUUACCUGGACAGUUACUGACGCUCAGGCACGAAAGCAUGGGGAGCAAAAGGGAUUAAAUACCCCUGUAGUCCAUGCCCUAAACGGUGCACACUAGGUCUUAGCGGAUUCGACCCCACUAGGGCCCAAGCUAACGCGUUAAGUGUGCCGCCUGAGGACUACGGUCGCAAGACUA
This 372-nucleotide ribosomal RNA is filed under the name uncultured organism. RNAcentral describes it as "bacterial SSU rRNA". It matches the Rfam family "Bacterial small subunit ribosomal RNA", at positions 526 to 896 of the family's 1533-position model. The record is from RNAcentral.